UCCCCCGAGCCACACGCACACCCAAUCCCCUCCCCUCCAACCCUAGCCGCCUGGCUCGCUUCCUCCUCCAUCCUCCCGCGUCUGUGGCCCCCUCCAGCAUCUCUUCCACCACGGGAUCCGAGGUGCGCGGGCGUCUCUCUCCGCCUUGCCUAGUGUGCCAUCAGACGAGGCGGCGGCAGAGGGAGGGAGGAGGCGGGCACGACCUACUUUUCCCCUCCCACCCCUGCUCGACCUCCCUCUAGCCACCGCCGCCUCCUCCUCCUCUCCCUCUCCCGUGUUGCUGUCGUCGACCCUCACAGCUGCUCCUCCCCAUGCUAGCCCCUCCACCUCACAUUCUUCCGCUUGGCCGUCCACGCGGCCAGCAACGGCACCGCACCGUAGGGGCGGUCAGGGUGCCUGCUACAAGCCGCUUGACCUCCUGGCGCUGCUUCCUCAGAUGUGCCGGCGUCGCUGCCUGCGCCUUCUCCAGCGCCACUUCGGUCACCGGCGCCAACUCCGGUCAGUGGUCUCCGGCACGCCCUCGCGACUUGACGAGGCAGAGAUGUGCCGAGGAUCCCCACGCCCUUGGUUCUCAUGUUCUCUGCUCCCAGCCGCAACAGAUCGUCCCAAAGGCAUUAUCGUGAGGAGGGAAGCGGCCGCAGAUUAAGGACAGCGCGGUUUAAGAGCAUGGUCAUAGUCUAGGAGCACACCCGGUGGUCGGCGCGUAUGUUGUCUCCAUGCCAAAUUAGCCACUUGAUUAUUUUAACAAAUCCCUCUUCUGCCUCUUAGUCAUGCUCAAAUCUGAGCUACCAUGUGUCUACUGAGCUUAAAAUUACCCACAACCCACAAUAGAAGGCAAGUAGGAUUUGACAGUGUAUGACAUGGUAAUCUAGCUUUAUAAAAUCCAAAUUGAUCAGGAUAUGCACAAAUAUGUUUACAUAUUUGCAUCCCUAGCGUCACUUAUAGGAUUGUAAUUAAUAGCAACCAUGGAGAGAGUCGGUUCAUUUUAUUAUGAGCAGGUCUCUUCUUCUACAUCCUGAAGAUCUGCUAAAAUAUGAAGUGAAUUUCCUGUUUUAUCUCACAUUUACCAAUUACACAUUGAAAUAUUGUGUUUGUUAAGAGAGUUUGAUUUGUACUUUGGAAGUUUUGGGAUUGGAGACAUCACCCUUCUUGUCCGCUGCCCAACUCCGUCGCGGCCCAGGCCUAGCAGGCGAUAGAGGCACCACGAGGACUCACUACAAAGAAGCCGUGGGAGGAGGACCCCGACUCGGAUGACGACUGCUGAAAGAUCACGCACUUCUUUGGCCCACAGACCGGCUCCGCUUACGGCUUAUCCAAGGUUGGAGCUUCACCGGCGCCAUGGUUGUGCUCGGAGGAGGAUCGCCGAUGCCCGCCGCCGCUGUCUUCCACAUGCUCCUCCUCACGACCACGGGUGGACGUUGGCUGAGGUCUAGCCUCCCAUCCACACGCAGAUUAUGCAAGUAUCUGCUUGGUCUGCAUAUUAGUACCGACUAGCAAGCACAGGAACGACCACUUGGACCUGGCGACUUGGAUCUGAUGACUUGGAAUUCCAAUUGACCGAGACAUCAAUUAAUUGACUCAAAAUGACGGGAAGUGAAAGCAUCAGAUUGAGUGAUUCAGAUCAGUUCUUGCGUUGUACGCCUGUAAAUUCGGCGGUAAUUCCUAACUAUGACGUUGAUAUGAUCUCCCAUAUGCAUAUUUGACUAGUACUACGUGCAGCCCGCAAGCAAAGGUUGCCCGGCAAAUUCUGAUCCAGCCAAAUGGGAAGGUCGUCGAGCCCACCAGUCAUGGAUUCUUAUACAAACCCAAUAGGGUUGUUCUCCAUCGUCCUCGUGCCCUCCUGUAUGUACUCUCGCUUAUGUGUUCUUGGAUUCUUAUUUUCUUUCUUUGGCAGGAUCCAUAGGAUUAUUGUUUUCUCUGAAUUUGUCCUUUGGUGCAUUGUGUUUGCUUAUUCAGGUCGAUGGGGAGGAGAGGAGCAGCGAGGCUGGAGCUCUAGACGGGGCACACGUCCCUGGGUUAAGCAGAGGCCAGCUACGGGGCAAGGAGCAGUGGGCUUAGAGCUCCAGGCGGCGCUCCUGUCACGAUGUGGUGAGAUGCAAGGGAGGGGUAGGAUGCCGGUGACAGCAGAAGGAGCAGGCCGGUGUAGAGGGCAAGCAGCACAGGAAGAUUAAGAAGGAUAUGACGCUUUGUAUAGUUUCAUGGAUGGGGUUUGGGUGUCCUGAUGAGAGCAGUUCAGUGGAUGCACCUCUGCAACCUCGCCAACAUGGACAAUCACUGGUCAUGAGUACAGGAUCAAGCCGCGGAUAUUUACGGCGACAUGGAGUAUUUGGUGGAACUGGCUAUGGAAGUGUGUCGCUCCAUGUUGUAGGCAGGCCGUGAUAUGGUGAACUAUUUCUUAGGCACGACAUUAUGAGCUUCUGUUUUGCAGCACAUGGAUACUUUUCGGAAUAAAUGUCAUGGAUCCAUGAUGCCUUACGUACCUCUGAACCUAUGACUCUAGAGAUAAUUUAAUAUAUUUCUGGAUUGUUUCGCUCUGGUUACAUAAGGUAAGAUCAUCUUUCACUAACACUUUCAAGUUUCAAAAUUGUCAAACGGGGUUCACAAUACUAGGUCUUUCUCAAUUCAGAUUCUUAUAUAUCCAAAAGGGGGACUAGCAAUUCUGAUGGGGCUUUUGCCACUUAUUGUUUUAUGGUUGUAUAGACAGCUGAUGGCAUGCUUCUUUCUGUGAAUUGUCAAUUCUUUUGUACAGGGUCCCUCGGCUACUUAUGCUUUGCUAGACAAUGAGAGUAUGUAGAUAGCAUGUAUGGUUUUUACAUUGUUUUGCGCCGGUUGAGAUGCAUCACAUGAUGUUUUCCUUUUACAUUUAUGAGUAUUACAGAGUCCUUUCUUUUUUCACAAGGGGCAGUAGAUGUGCCAUUUGAUUUGAAGGACAAAGAGUUGAUCACAAAGGGGUAGCAUUCAGGAUAUAUACACAAAAGAGUAUAGAACCAAAUUAUAUGAUGUAAUUGACUACUAUUUCUAUUAACUUCUCCUGUACAUAAUGUUCACGAGUUCAUGUAUUAAGUACAUUUUAUUGUGUCACUUGUGUUUACUCUUUUUUUAAUGCAAGUUUACAGCUACUCGGAAUUCCUAAUUGUAGACUCAACUAUCUUGACCUACCGAUGAUCUAAUUUGUGGCAUUAUUACCUUAAAAAAGUAUUUG
Triticum aestivum (bread wheat) is the source of this 3202-nucleotide long non-coding RNA. RefSeq lists it as uncharacterized. The record is from RefSeq and is a predicted model, not a curated record. NCBI's taxonomy places the organism in Eukaryota, Viridiplantae, Streptophyta, Magnoliopsida, Poales, Poaceae. The transcript has 7 exons.